RNAcentral lists this microRNA precursor (136 nucleotides) under Hordeum vulgare. RNAcentral describes it as "microRNA MIR1122". It matches the Rfam family "MIR1120/MIR1122 microRNA precursor family". The record is from RNAcentral. Lineage: Eukaryota; Viridiplantae; Streptophyta; Magnoliopsida; Poales; Poaceae.
UAUAUACUCCCUCCGUCCUGAAAUACUUGUUUUAGAUUUGUCUAGAUAUAAAUGUAUCUAGUCACGUUUUAGUAUUUUGAUACAUCUAUUUUUAGACAAACCUAAGACAAGAAUUUUGGAACGGAGGGAGUAUUUG